UCCAUUUCUGUGGAAAUCAGACAUUAGUGAUUUGAAGAUAUCCUUGAAAAUAGACCAUUGGGUGAUUAGGAACUUCACUGUGAAGCCAUCCGGGCCCGGAGCUUUGUUGUUGCCAAGUGCCUUUAAUGCCUUAAAGAUCUCUGUUAGGAUUCUACACCCUUUUUAAUAAAAUACCCAACUAGGGCUAAACAGAGACAGAAUAUAUAGCCCAAAGUUACAGCUACAAUAAGGAAUGAAAACAAGAACAAUGAACAACAAGAACAAACCUGCACCCUUCACAAGAAGGAUACCCCCUCCUAUCAGCUGCUGCCGCCUCCCUUUCUUAAAAGAUAACCAAAAAGAUACCCAUCCCUAUUUCUCAAUCAUUCUAUUUAUACUCACCCUCAAAUUCCUACCCAGUGGGACCCACCUGCACAUUCUUUUAUUUCCCACUCAUUCUCUCUCCUUACAUGUUGGUGAGUUUCCCUUCUUACCCUUCCUAACAUACGUAUGUAUGAUUGGGGUCUCACAACACCCCUCGGUUCAAAAUUCACCUUGUCCUCAAGGUGGAAUGUGGGAAACUGUUGAUUCAUUUGAUAGACAGCUUCCCAUGUGGCUUCAGUUUCUGGUAAAUUCUUCCACUUGACUAGCCAUUCGUUAGCUCCCAAUUCUUUGUUCCAGCGAAUUCCCAAUACCUGUUCUGGCCAUAGUUGUAAUUCGAAAUCUGUUGUCAACAUAGGUUGUUGUUGCUGCACAACCUUCUGCUUACCUAACUUGAGCUUCAACUAUAGGCCACCUCUCCUAUCUCUUCAAUGAUUGUGUAAGGCCCGUAGAAUUUUGGAGCCAGCUUUUCACACCUUUUCCGAGCUAAGGAUCUCUGCCUAUAAGGUCUGAGCUUUAGGUAUACUUCAUCACCCACCUUGAACUUCAAUUCCCUUCUUUUGGUGUCUGCCCAUUUCUUCAUGCGGUUUUGGGCUAAGUGAAGGUUCUCCUUCAAGGCGUUCAAUGCCAGAUCUCUCUCCUUGAGCAUUAUUUCUACCUCAUCAUUCUGAGUUUUUCGGGUUCCGUAGGAUAGAAUCGGGGUGGUUGCCUUCCAUAUACAAUCUUGAAAGGGUUGGAACGUAUGGAUGAAUGGAAAGUAGUGUUAUACCACAGUUCAGCCGAUGGAAUGAACUUAUGCCACCUUUGGGGUUGUUCAUUGCAAAAGCAUCUCAAGUAUGUCUCCAGACAUUGGUUUACCCUUUCCGUUUGUCCAUCUGUUUGUGGGUGGAACGCCGUGCUUCUUUUCAGUUUAGUUCCCAUAGUUGUAAAUAACUCCUUCCAAAAAUGACUAAUGAAAACUUUAUCCCUGUCGGAUACUAUGGAUUUUGGAACCCCAUGCUUGCUGAUGAUCUUUUCAAUGAAUGUCGUCGCCACUUGUUUAGCUGUGAAAGGGUGCUUCAUAGUGAUGAAAUAAGCAUACUUGCUCAAUCUGUCUACCACCACCAUUAUCACAUUCAUUCCCCCUGCCUUCGGUAACCCUUCUAUGAAAUCCAUUGACCAUUCUUCUAGUAUGGCUUCCGGAGCAGGAAGUGGAUGUAAUACCCCUGCUGGUUUCGUGGCCUCAUAUUUGUUUCUUUGACAAAUCUCACACUGUUCCACAUAUUUCUUUAUACCAGCCUUCAUUCCCUCCCAGUACAGCUCUCCGCUCAUCCUUUUCUAUGUCCUCAAGAAUCCCGAGUGUCCUCCUAAGAUGGAGUCAUGGAAUGUAUGCAGCAAUGUGGGAAUCACUGACGACUUCUUUGAUAAUACCACUCUCUUCUUGUAGAACAGUUUCCCAUUCUCCUAGCUAAAUUUGCUAAUUCCCUCUGGAUUCUGUUUCAAUUCUUUAAUGGUUUUCUGUAAUUCCUCAUCUUGGUUGACUUCCUUGUCUAUCACUUCCAUGUCUACAAUGCCAGUUGUCGUCAAGGAGUUUACUUCCAGCGGAUAUUCCAUCCUAGAAAGGGCAUCUGCUGCUUUGUUUUGUAAUCCAGGUUGGUAUAAUAUUUCAAAAUCGUAUCCCAGCAGUUUGGUCAGCCAUUUCUGAAAUUGGGGUUGUACUUCCCUCUGCUCAAGGAGAAAUUUCAAUGCCUUUUGAUCUGAGAUAAUUGUAAACUUCCUUCCUAAUAGAUAAUGACGCCAUUUCUGCACUGAUAAUACUACAGCCAUCCGUUCUCUUUCGUAAAUGGACUUGGCCUGAGCUCGUGUCGACAAUUUCUGGCUGAAGAAGGCUAUGGGUGACCAUUCUGUGAAAGUACAGCUCCCAAUCCUGUCCCUGAAGCAUCUGUUUCGAUUAAAAAAGGUAGAUCCCAAUUCGGCAGUGCUAGCACCGGGAUAGUAGUCAUGGCCAUCUUUAAUUUUUCAAAGGCCUCGGUUGCUUGUUCAUCCCACGCAAAAGAAUUCUUUUGCAACAAUCUGGUCAAGGGGGCUGCAAUUUCUCCGUAUCCUUUCACAAACCUACGAUAAUAGCCCGAUAAUCCCAGAAAUCCUCUCAGACCCGUGACAUCUUUCGGCUGAGGCCAUUUCACCAUGUCUUUGAUCUUCUCCUCAUCAGCCUGUACUCCUUUACUCGAAAUUAUAUGCCCCAAAUAUUGGAUUUUGGAGUGAGCUAUGACACACUUCUUCUUAUUUGCAAAUAGAUGUUAUCUCUCAACACUGCAAAUACCAUCCCUAGAUGUUUCUCAUGUUCUGCUAUAUCCUUGCUAUAUACAAGUAUAUCAUCGAAGAAUACCAAUACACACCUUCUUAAAAAGGGUUUGAAUACCUGAUUCAUCAAGGACUGGAAGGUGGCUGGUGCGUUUGUAAGACCGAAGGGCAUUACCAGAAAUUCAUAGUGACCCUCAUGUGUUUCUGAACGCGGUCUUCUCAACAUCUUCCUUCUGCAUCCUUAUUUGAUGGUAACCGGACUUCAGAUCUAGUUUUGAGAAAACCGUGGCUCCAUGUAAUUCAUCCAGCAGUUCUUCUAUCACUGGGAUAGGAAAUUUGUCUGAUAUGGUUACUUGGUUGAGUUUCCGGUAAUCUACACAAAACCGCCACCCUCCAUCUUUCUUUUUGACCAAUAAAACAGGGCUGGAGUAAGGGCUAUGACUGGGACGUAUCACACCUGCUUGCAGCAUUUCCACCACCAAUUUCUCAAUUUCCUCCUUCUGUACAUAACCAUAUUUAUAUGGUCUGACAUUGACCUUUGGUUCGGUAAAACCAAUAUACGGUGAUCUAUUUCUCUCUUAGGAGUAGUUUUUGGAUCCUCAAAGAUGUCUGCAUACUGUUGUAACAGAUUUUUAAUCAUUGGAAUCUCUUCCUCGUCCCUUUCAUUUCCUGCUCCGCUUCCACCUCCGUGUCUACUUCAUACUUUUGGAAUUCCAACAGAAAACCCUGAUCUUCAUUUUCCCACGUUUUCUCAAUGGUUUUCAGGGAACAUUCUGCUUGGAUGAGGGAUGGGUCUCCUUUCAAGAUAAUUUUCUGUUUGCCCAACCAGAAAGACAUUGUUAGAGAUGGCCAAUGUAUCUUCAUGGUGCCUGUUGUAUCCAGCCACUGCAUACCCAAUAUUACAUCCACAUUUCCCAACUCAAUAGCAAAAAAAUCAGCCACCACCACCACCCCUUGUAGUUCCAAUUCCACUCUCUUGCAAACACCCUUGCCUGCUACACUUGGUGCCAUCUCCAAUUGUAACUGCAAACGGGUUACCUUUUUCCAGAUAUAAGUUCUUUUCCUUUACUGUCCGGUUAUGUAUAAAAUUAUGGGUUGCUCCACUAUCAAUCAGUACUAUCACUCCUUUGCCCUUUAUAUUUCCCUUCAGCUUCAUCGUUCCCUUCGAUGCCAUCCCAUGGAUUGUCUUCAAUUCUAUUUCCUCCCCUUCAGCAAAAUCCAUAUGGUUUAAUUCCACUGUUUCCCCUGGUUCCUCUUCCAUCUUGCCUUCCUCUUCCUUGCUCUCCUCUUCAUUCAUGAUAAAUAACAUCAGCUCCCUUUUUUCCUUCACUCUACAUCUGUGCCCUGGUGUAUAUUUCUCAUUGCAUUUAAAACAUAGGCCCUUAUCCAAUCUGGACCUGAAUUCUGCGUCUGAAAGUCUGUAGUUCGAUAGGAGGUUCACUUUUUUGAUAACUACCCUUAAUAGGUAUAGUUACUUGUUUUAUGGGGAAAUCUGUCCUCCUCAUGUAGCCUUUGUCUGUUCCAUCUUGGAUUUUUCCUGCAUACUCUUCUUUUUUCUUUGGUUCCACUGUCCUGCCCUCGGUCUUAGUCAAUUUCAUUGCUACAUUCCGAUCAUUGACUAGUUUAGCCUCCCUCAUACAAUCUUCCAAUGUUCGAGGAAACGACUAACGACUUCUGCCUGAAGAUUGGGUUCCAGACCGGUCAGAAAAGCAUCUCGUAACACACUUUCCUCCAUGUGAGGGAGGGGAGCUGAAUAUGUGACAAAUUUCUUCACAUACUCACUGUAGGAUCCAUCUUGUUGAAUCCUAAUCAAGCGUGCCACUAGACUUGUUUGUCCGAGUCCUUGAAGAAAUCAAACAUCCUCCCUUUCAAAUCUUCCCAUGACUCUACUUUCUUCCUAUUAUGCGUCCACCUGUACCAGUCCACUUCCUCUUGCCCAAAACUGACCACCGCCACUCUGAUCUUCUCGUUUUCUGGCAGGUUGUUCAUCUCAAAGAAAUGUUCUGCUCUAUAUACCCAGGAUUCUGGAUUUUCACCUAAGAACAUAGGCAUUUCUAACUUUGCGUACUUACUUCGAUCCACAUUGCUUCCAUUUACCUCAUUACAGACUUCCGAUUCUUCUACUUUUCCUUUCAACUUCAUGCUGGAUCCAUCAGAUGUUCCGGAUUCAUCUCUUUUCUUAUAGCUAUGAUUCUCUCUUAGUUCCUCUGUCAGUCUUUCCAUAGAUUUCUUCAUUUCCAGUAGCAUUUCUUUCAUGCUCAGCAGCUCCUUCUCGGUUCCUUCCAUUCGUUCCUCCAUUUGUCUUUGUGCCAUGCGACGCGUCACCACCCCUAGUUUUUUUUUUUCUUUUUGUCGGGCUCUGAUACCAAAUGUUAGGAUUCUACACCCUUUUUAAUAAAAUACCCAACUAGGGCUAAACAGAGACAGAAUAUAUAGCCCAAAGUUACAGCUACAAUAAGGAAUGAAAACAAGAACAAUGAACAACAAGAACAAACCUGCACCCUUCACAAGAAGGAUACCCCUCUCCUAUCAGCUGCUGCCGCCUCCCUUUCUUAAAAGAUAACCAAAAAGAUACCCAUCCCUAUUUCUCAAUCAUUCUAUUUAUACUCACCCUCAAAUUCCUACCCAGUGGGACCCACCUGCACAUUCUUUUAUUUCCCACUCAUUCUCUCUCCUUACAUGUUGGUGAGUUUCCCUUCUUACCCUUCCUAACAUACAUAUAUGUAUGAUUGGGGGUCUCACAAUCUCCUCCACUGAAAGUUGGGUAACAAGAGCCUCAUUCUGAAUUGAGGAAACACAAGACCAAUUACUGUUAAUAGGGAUGAAGCUGUCCCCCGGAAUUCUGGUAUAAAGUGACUCAAAAAAUUCUAGCACAAUCCUUUCAAUGUCGCCGAAUGAAGUCGAGACAAUCUCAUCAUCAUAUUUUAAUUCAGUUAUGAGGUUCCUUCUUUUUUUCGCAUUUAGAAAGCGGUGGAAGAAGCCCGUAUUCUCAUCACCCAAAGAAAGCCAAUUGAGUUUACUCUUCUGAAUAAAAUUACUCUUCAUUUUGAUAAAUACUAAGUAAUUCCGCUUGCAAAGCAGCUCUAGAAUUCAACUCUUCUUGAUUUAAUCCAAUCAACUCAGCCACAGAAUCAUUUUUUCUAAUUUUGACAUCAAGGAUUUCUCUGUUUUUUUUUUUACCUUAGCUUGCGCAGCAAUAUUCCAAGCUUUUACUGCCAAUUUAACUGAUCUCAACUGCUCAUGAAGAAUGAAACCAGCCCAUCCCUGGAAGUUAGAGUUGCUCACUGUUUCAACAAUAAUCUGAUUAGAAUCACUGGACACCAACCAGCUGUUACAAAACCGAAAAGGAGAGGGACCCCAAAGAAAAGAACCAGCCUCCAAGAAUAAAGGAAAGUGAUCCGAGAGAUGCGUGCUUUUCGAGAAACCCGAGAAUUUUCAAAACAAACAUCCCACAUCUGAUUUAUGAAGAAUCUGUCUAAUAAUGAUCUUCAAGGAGAAUUACCGUCUCUAGACCAAGUGAACCUUCCAUUUUGCAAUGGAAUUUCCAUGAGAGAAACCAUGUCAAUAAACUUAUUGAAUAAUGACAUUCCUCUAGUACUUCUGCCAAAAGGAAAUCUUUCCCGGCCCAACGAGUGAUAUUAAAAUCCCCACCUAUGCACCAGGCCACGGCCGAACAAUCAGCCAAGGAAGACAAUUCGGGCCAAACCAAUUUCCUUUCUCUGCAACCACAAGGGCCAUAGACAUUUGUGAUCCAACAAACCUUUUUGCACAAAGUGAGGCAUUUGAUUGACAAAGAGAAGCGUCUUUUAAUGACCUCUGUUACAGAUAUUUUACUGCUGUCCCACAUGGUAAGAAUUCCCCCAGAAGAUCCAACAGAAGCCACAUAAUCCCAGCCAAUAUCCUUAGAACUCCACAAUGAUUUUAUAAAAGCCGAGUUCAAGGUGUCCUUCUUAGAUUCUUGAAUCAUGACUACAAUUGUUGAUGAUUUUUUAAGUGCUGCACGUUUAGAGGAGUCGUUCAAACCCUUAGUGUUCCAGGAGACAACCUUAAUAAUGACUGGGAGGAGGAAAAGGCAGUUGCACAUCUAAUUUAAGCCAGAAUGAUUCCACAAUCACCGACUAUAGACACUAAAUCUUUAGGCAAAUCCAGGGGAAUUUUAAUAGGGAGAAUAUCUUCAUCAUUGACAUUCAGAUCCAUCCCAUUAAUUUCUGGGACUAAUUUAGGGUCAACUUCAGUGUUGGGGACUGCCAAUUUAACUGAUCUCAACAGUAAGUUGAUUAAGUUGGGCAGUAGGAGGGACACGAGACAAGGCAUCUGCUGCUUUGUUUUCUAGUCCCGGUUUAUACACGACAUCAAAAUUGUAGCCAAGAAGCUUAGCAAUCCACCUCUGAUGUUGAGGUUGGAUAACCCUUUGUUCCAAUAAAAGUUUCAAUGAUCGUUGAUCAGUUUUCACUUCAAACCUCUUGCCCAAAAGAUAAGGUCUACAGCGUUGCACAGCCAAAACUACAGCCAUUUUCCCGUUCAUAAACUGGUUUAGCACGAUCCCUCAUAGCUAAUGUCUGGCUAAAAUAAGCAAUUGGCCGAUGAUUUUGAAUUAAGACAGCACCUACCCCAUAUCCAGAAGCAUCGGUCUCUAUUUCAAAUGGUAAGGAAAAAUCUGGCAGUGCUAAGAUUGGGAGAGUCAUCGUAGCCAUCUUUAAAUUCUCAAAAGCUUCAGCAGCUGCAACAGUCCAUUCAUAUGCUCCUUUCUUCAAUAAUUGAGUCAAAGGAGUAGCCACACUUCCAUAAUUCAUUACAAAUCUUCGAUAAUAUCCUGUCAACCCAAAGAAAUCCACGAACUUCACGGACAUUAGUGGGCACGGGCCCAUUCUUUGAUAGAUCUAAUUUUCUCGGGAUCAACCUCUACACCCUUUCCCGAAAUUAUAUGGCCAAGAUACUCCACUUUCAUUUUGGCAAACCCACACUUGUGCAUAUUACCAUAUAAUUUAUUCUCUCGCAGCACCUCUAACACCCAUUCUAAAUGUUGAAGAUUUUCAUCCAAACUUCUACUGUAAAUUAAUAUAUCAUCAAAAACGACUAAGAAAACCUGUGUAGGUAAGGUUUAAAGAUACUAUUCAUCAAAGCUUGAAACGUUGAUGGUGCAUUGGUGAGCCCAAAAGGCAUGACAAGAAACUCAUAAUGCCCCUCGUGAGUUCUAAAAGCUGUUUUCUUCAAAUCCUUUUUACACAUUCUAAUUUGAUGAUAUCCCGCCUUGAGAUCAAUCUUCGAAAAUAUAUUAGCCCCAUUAAGUUCAUCAAACAAUUCCUCUACUACUGGAAUAGGAAACUUGUAUGGAACGGUCACACUAUUCAACGCACGGUAAUCUACACAAAACCGUCAACUACCAUUUUUUUUUCACCAACAAGACCGGGCUCGAAUAUGGACUAGUACUAGGUUUUUAUGCCAAAUGCCAUCAUUUCAUCAACCAAUCUUUCCAUCUCCUCCUUUUGCUGGUAUGCAUAUCUAUAAGGCCGAACAUUGACUGGAUUAGUCCCCUUCUUAAGAUGUAUAUGAUGUUCAAUGGUACAUUGUGGUGGCAACUCUCCAGGCCAACCAAAAACAUCUUCAUUCUUAGCUAACACGGCUGGAAUAGACUCAUGAGUGGUAGGCACUUCAUCAACCCCAUACAUCGCUGCAAAUGCCAUUCCACCUUCCAAAGAUCUACACUCAAUCAGAAAUCCUGAUCAAGUUCUGUCCAUGUCUUCAUCAUGUGCUUCAAACUCACCCUAGCCUUCGUAUGACUCGGAUCUCCCCUCAAUACAACCUUCUUCCCAUUUUGUAUGAAUGUCAAAGUAAGUUUUCACCAAUCUACUUCGGUUACUCCUAAUGUAUGUAGCCAUUGCAUACCAAGAAUGACAUCCACUCCCCCCCAAUUCCAAUGGCAGAAAAUUAUCCACAACCUUCCAUUCACCCAAUAGCAGUUCCACUUGUUUACAAAUUCCCUUCCCUUUUACAGCAGAUUCAGACCCCAAAAUAACCCCAUAAUCAGAAGUUUCCUGCAACUGCAACAACAAUUGAGUUACUAACUUUUCAUAUAUAAAAUUAUUGGUCGCGCCGCAAUCUAUCGAUACUACUACUGACCUUUCUCUAAUCAUACCUUUAAUUUUCAUAGUUCCAGGGUUUGUUAAUCCCACCACCGAAUUUAUUGACAAUUCGAUCACGGGUUCUUCUGGUUUAACAACUUCAGUCUCCUGUAUUUCAGUUUCCACUUUUGAAUCCUCUUCUUCAACUACUCUAGUUCUUCCCCAUUUGCCCCAACAACUAAAACUCUAAGUUCCUUAUGAUCUUUCACGUUACACUUAUGGCCCACAAAAAAUCAUUCCUCACAGCGAAAAGAGACCUUUCUCACGUCUAGCCUGAAAUUCAGCAUCAGAAAGUCGUUUUAGUGGUCCUUCUCGUCGAUUAGGUUCACCAGCCACUCCUCGAAUUGUAAUCAUCCGCAUUCGAACAAUCCCUCCUGACUUAUUAUCAUUAGAAAUCACAGGAAUUUGAGGUUUAAAGGAAGCAGAAACCUGGAAUUUUCCAUCCGCUGCACGUUUGAAACUUGAUUCUCCCAUUAUCACUUCUCGGUUCUCAAUCUUUUGGGCCAACUUCAUCAUUUGAGCAAGCCCCAUAGGUUCCCAACAUUCCAUGUCUGCCUUAAUCCAUGGUUUCAAACCAUUCAUAAAUGUUUCUUCUAAGACAGCCUUUUGUAGAAAAGGCAAUGGUGCUACUGAUUUAUCAAAUAAAUUCCAAUAUUCUUCCACUGUAAUAUCUUGCUUGAUCUUUAAAAAUCUUCCCAGAAUUGAUCCCUCACGACUCGAUCGAAAUCAAACAAUAAGUCUCUUCUUUAAAUCGUCCCAAUUAACAAACGGUUCACGAUCUUCAUGAGAUCUAUACCAAUUCAAAGCUGCUCCAUCAAAACUAAGAAUGGACACAAUCAUUUUCUCUGACUCACUCAGUUUGUGUAUCUGAAAGUAUCUCUCAGCCCUAAACAACCAAGAAUCGUGAUCAUUUCCCACAAAAACUGGCAUUUCAAUUUUUUUAAAUUUGCUUCGGUCGCCCGCAGAAUCUUCACCCUCCAACUUGGUAUGUUUUUCCUCAGAUUUUCCUCCCAUCAUCGUCCAAUCACUGACAUCAACCAUGCUGUCAACUCACUUGAUGAUCCUUCUAGUACUUCUUCCAUCGUUGUCUUCCCUUUGAUCAUUCCUUCAAUAUAUUUCAACAGUGUUUCUGGUUGCUGUUGUUGCUUCUCAGCCUGUACUCCUAACCUCUCAAUACUCUUCGCCAAAGAUGACAUGUUUUCCUUGAUUGUUGGCAGAUCAUGUAAUUCUGCUCGAAUGCCGGAUAUUUCUUGAUCUACCAUUUCCAACUUUUCCUCAAUUCGCUUUUGAGCCAUGAUAUAGAACUUCACAGAUUCGAUUUCUCCGAUACCAAAAUGAUAGAACACCAAAUAGUGUGUUCUACUAAUUUAUUAAUCAGCCAAACAUUUACAGAAAACAGGUUCUAACACAGUCUUGAAAACAAAGUACUCGACAAUUUGGAAGACAGAAAUCCCUAAAAGAGUGAAUAUCACGCUUUGGAGAAUGCGAAAUGGACUAUGAACUGUGCAGAAGUUUUGCAAAUGAAACCUCCCUUUCUCAGUUUAUCUCCUCAUGUUUGUCCCUUGUGUUUGCAUGCUUUAGAAGAUUUACAUCAUAUUUUCUUCUCCUGCUUACAUGCAAAGAAGUGUUGGUUUGGCUUACUUGGCUAUCUUCAUUUGAAUUGGGUUUUCGACUAUAGAUUUAGGAGAACGCGGUCCAGCUUAUUUCAUGUCCCAUUCUCAAGAAGAAACCAAGAUUGAUUUGGUUAAAUGCAGUAAAGGCCAUUUUACCAUAAAUUUGGUUUGAACAUAAUCAACUAACAUUUCAAAAUAAAGCUUCCUCUUGGACAACUCGAGUCGAAAUGGCUAGAAUCAAUGCUUCUACUUGAUGCUCUCUUUCAAAAGACUUCAAAGAUUUCUCCAUACAAGAUAUAAGUCAUAACUGGCCGACUUUCAUUUUUAAUUCUUAGUCCACUACUGUACUCUUAUUUUAUUUCUUUUGGAUUUCUAGUGGUCUUAAAUCUAUGUUGUAUAGUUAUUGGCAGUUUGUAUGAUCUAUUCUAAACCUUGUCGUUGGUUUAGUCUUUUGGUUUAAGUCUCGAUAUGGUGAGAACGCUAAGUGGGUGUCAACCUAGAUGAGAUGUCCGAGUGCACUAGCUGAUCCUAGGGCUUCUUUGUAUUAUCUUUUGUCUUGUCUACUCAUUUUCAGCUUCAUGAAGAGGCUCCUUUCCUAUUUCAAAAAAAAAAAAAAAAAGGUAAAUGUGUGAUUCUUAUAAAGUAAAUUAUCCUACGAUUAAAAGUUUGAACUUAGACUAUUCCAAGUGCUUCACCAAAUCUUAAAUAUUUGAACCAACUGCACCAACUUUGCACAACACAACAAUGUAAAACACAUUAACUACUUUCUCUUCUAUGCACAUUAUAUAUCAAAUAAAAAUAUUAGAAGGGAAAAAAUGGAAAAAAGACUGUGUUAAGAAAGAUGGAUGGAAACCUUAUAAUGAUACAUAUUUUUACAAAUCCAGAUGUACGGGUGCUCGUGUGUGUUCAAUAAAGUAAAUAAUAGAAAAUUUUUCAAACAAAAACCAAGCAUAAUAAAUUUCUAUGACCAUUAAGACAUCCAUAUUCUUAUCGCUUCUCUCCCACGUUUCACGAAGGCCCUCAGCCAUCUGCCAGUUCCAUUUGAAUUAUUUUUGAUAAAGCCCAUUAAAAAAAAAAAAGUUCAAAAUGCAUGAAAAAUGCACUUUGAGACCUAAAAUGACAACCAAGUAUGCAAGUGAAACAAACUUAGUCUUAAACAAGUCCCAAAAUGGCAAUCAAGUGGGUAAGGUCAACAAACUUAGUAUCUCUUGAUUUGAAAUUUGAAAAAUAUUUGUAAGGUGUGAUAAAUUCAAAAUCAAAUCAUUUUAUGUUUAUGUCGUUGAAUUUAAAGAAAUCAAAUGAUUAUAAAUCAACUUUUAAAAAAUUAAAAAUUUGUUUCUAGACAUCCAUAUUCUUACCGAUUAAAAUUCAACUUACAUAUUUCUUUUUUACUUGAUAUCUAAAAUUUACAUAUACUUUAAAAUUUAUUUCUUCUCUUUUCAUUUUUUUUCUCAUAUUUCAUUUUUCAAGAUUUAAAUAGUUUUUUUUGUUUUAUCUGUACUUUUUUUGAUAGGUUAUGAGUUAUGAGCUUAUAGUUUAGUCGUGUUAGGUCGUUUUGAAAAUUCAAGUGAUACUCCAAGGUUAUUCUUGGAAUAUUCUUUUACAUUAUAUUUGUUAAAUCACUAUUUAGUUUAUUAAGAGCUUGAUAAAUAACCACUAAACUAAAACCAUAGAGGAUAAUUGAUAGACCAUUAGUACAUGUUCUAUCACUAACUAACCGACGGUAAAACUUUGUUAUAUUUGUGAAUAUCUUCAGCAAUUUUAUCAUUUAAGACAAUUUUUCGUAUAAUAUCGACAUGAACAUCGUAAGAAAACUCAAAUUAAGUAAGUUAAAUUAAAAAAAAAAUUGUAUGAAUGUUUCGAGAACCAUUAAUUAUAAAUUCAACAUUUUUGAAUGAAAAAUUGGAUUGGUUUGUGGUGACGGCUAACAUGCAUGUCUAACAAUUAUUUUCAAUUUCUAAUACUUUCAUCCAUUGCCAAAGUUGGAAACUAAUGUUCACAUUUUUUUUAUCUUAUUAAAUAAAAUUUCACAUUUCUUGAAAAUUUUGGAUUAUAAUUAUUUGAAAAACAAAAUAUAUAUUUUUUGCUUUAUCGUUACUGAAAAUUUUAUCUCAAUUUUUACAGUAAAAUUUGAUUUUUUAGUCUAAAUUUUAAAAACAAAAUAUUUGUUUUAGUUAUAAAGAAAUUGUUUUGGAUUUUAAAUGGGUUUUAUCACAAAUAAUUCAAAUAUAUUUUAAUCCCUCAUCUCCCCUUCUCUCUCACUCACGUUUCAAAUUUCUUCCCCUACUUCUUCUCUAACGGCUAUCUCUCUCUCUCUGCUUUCUCGUCCUCUCCCCUUCUCUCAUCUUCUUCGUCUUCCUCAAAAUCGCCGAUUGACGGCCAUCUUCUUCUCCUAUCCCUAACAGCGCCGGAUUUCUCAACUGUCGAUCGAGUGACAAUCGUGCCUGCCUGCUUGACAAAGCCUUUUCGGUCUACCAAUAAAGGAAAAACGAUUGCUGGUGACACGAAAGCUGUGCUCAACGCUCUUUUUCCUAUUCCACUGCACGUCGUGGUCUUUCCCUUGCUGGUUGGAUGACUACUAUGGACGAAGAGCACAACUACUUCCAGUCUCUGGUCGAUAAGUACCCAAGGAAGGUAAAUUCCAGCGGAGAAAGUCGAGAGCUCCUUAGUUGAUCACAAAUCCUUCCAAAUUCUUUGUUCGUAGACUAAUUUGAAAUCCUUCCAAUAUGGAUCCAUGCUGUCUUUUAUAUCCAUAAGAUACCAAUUAGAUUGUGUUAAUUAUUGUUUAUAAGAAAAUAUUUGUGUGCAGAGUUGGCAGUGGGUAAAUCUUAAUGGCUGGCAGAAAAUUGGUUCGGGAUAUAUUACUCUCAAGACAAAGUAUUUUUUAUCAAUUUACUUCCAUGGGGUAUUUGCUCUUCCUAUGCUUUAUCCUUAUCGCAUCUUUCUCCGUGUAGUCUUCAUAGGAUGGAUUUCUGUGGUGUAAAUUUUAUUCAUCUAGUUUGUUUGAUUUGUGGUUGCAUUUAGGAGAAGGUAAAUUACAUAAGCCACAGUAGUUAUGGAAAAAAUCUCCAAUUUACAGCAAGUUAAAGAAAAAAAAGAAGAGAAAAACAGCAUUAAAAAAAACUGGGCAUCUUGCUUCUUUCUUAUUGAAAGUUCUGCCGUUUCUUUCAAGUCAAAUUGACCAUAAAAUGCUCAAAUGAGAUUUUUCAAUAGGAAUAUGUAAAAAAAAUAUAAUAUGUAAAAGAAUUUUUUUGAAACGUGGGAGAGAAGCGAUAACAUUAUCCUUCAAAAAAUUCAGGAGUAGUAAAUAUUUAUGUGAAAGGACAUAUUAUAAGCCACAGUAGUUAUGGAAAACAUCUCCAAUUUACAGCAAGUUAAAGAAAAAAAAAGAAGAAAACAGCAGCUAAAAAAAACUGGGCAUCUUGCUUCUUUCUUAUUGAAAGUUCUGCCGUUUCUUUCAAGUCAAAUUGACCAUAAAAUGCUCAAAUGAGAUUCUUCAAUAGGAAUAUGUAAAAGAACUUUUGUGAAACGUGGAGAGAAGCGAUACAUUAUCCUUCCAAAAAUUCAGGAGUAAAUAUUUAUGUGAAAGGACAUAUUAUUUGCCAUUUGACCUUAUUUGGUUGGAAAUGAUAAACUACACAUUAUUGUUUGCUUCAGUUGUGAUCUUGAUUAUGGGCUAUUUGGUAUUUUGCCUACAAACUGUAUAGUUAAUUAUCUGUUAGCUUUUGUUUUCUGUCACAACUUUAUGUUUAUGUGGCUAAUUGUAGCCGAAAGUUUUAUUUAUCAAUCUUAUUUUUCACAGCAUAAAUGAAACUGUGUUUCAAGAACAAGGUGCUGCUACAUCAUUCAAGGAAAUUCGUCGUAGAGGUCCGUAAGUUUUUUCCUUUGGAGAUGUGAUACUAACCUGUUUGAAUAAAAGAAUCUGACUUGGUCUUUUCCUCUUUAACAUUAUGGAUUAGGUCUUUCUCUUUACCAGAUUUCGUAGCUGAAGUUUAUGAAGUAAUCAAACCGGUGUUAACUUCUUAUAUAAAGGUUAGUGCUAACUGCUAAGCUUAUUUCUAAGAUGAAAGAUGCUUUUAUCCCCUCCCCAAAGAAUAUCAUUACUAUUUAUGUUGUGUUUCUGCUAACUAAUUCUUGCAUAGCAUCUGGUUUGAUAAUUAAAGUAAAGUUUCUGACAUGGAGGUUUUCAAGUUGUAAUAUAUAUUUUUAUGUUUUAGGUAGAUUCCCAAACUUUGAAGAAACACUACAGUACUGAGGUAAUUGAAUGUUGUAAGGCAGAGCAUCGGGCUUACUAGAGCCAAGGUAUCUUCUUCGAUAACAAGGUAAGGAUAGUCUUGAUACUACCUUUCUUUUGUUAUUGAAGUUUAUUGUUCUUUUUGUUGGGGGCUUGGUGGUUGUGCACCUAUAUUGAUUGUACUUCUGUUAAUUAAUUAUAGUCAUCCUCUCUUGUCUGAGUAAUUAUUGUCAACCAUUUUGUUAGCAAAGGCUUCCCAUGGAUAUUCAGUUUGUUGUGCUGCAUGUCCACGAUGAUUUUCGUGAUUUUAGUUCUAGAUACAUAAAAAGGGCCUUUGCAUCACGACAUGAAUGACUAUUUUUUAAUAUGAACCUACAAUACCCAAAAUGAAUGCUGGAUUAAAUUAGAUACAGGCGCAGAUAGAGAGUGAGAUGGAGAGUGUUUGUGUGCUUUAGAGCCAUCUGUCCCUAAAACAUAGUUUCUUCCCCCCCCAUAAGAAGUAAGUUUAUUGAUGUAUGUAAUUUACAAAAAGGUUUGGUGGACACCUACAACAAUCUUUUUGAACUUUUUGGUAGGUUAUGAAUUACGAACUUGUAUUGAAUAUUUGUUAGGUCGUUUUAAUAAUUCAAGUGAUGCUUAGAAAAUGCAACCGAGCUUAAACAAUUCUGCACAUUUUACUAAAAUUUUUAGUUUAACCUUUUUAAUAAAAUUCGAUGGAAAUUCUUGUUUUCUUUUUGUAGGAAUAAAGGAAAAUGAAAUAUAACCAAACUUGGGAUCUUUGCAAGCAAGCUUCCAUGAAGAAACUAGGUUACAAGGGAGGUCUUCUGUUCUCCUUUUUCUUUUUUUCUUUCCAUCCGUAGAAUCUUGCUUAAAAUGCUUUGAGGACAAUGCAAAUUUUUAAGUGGGGGUGGAGUUGUAGCCUUGCACAUUCCAUGUCCUUUGGGAAAUUUUCAUUUUGCAAAUUUUGCUAAAAAUGUCAAAAUUUAGAAACUUUUGCAAUGCUCUAUGCUUAGAAUAAGUACCAUGUCUACUUCGAUUUUUAGCAUAAAAAAGCAUGUAUGCCUACCAUGAGAACGGAGCUCGAUUUGUGAUUGUAUUUUUUAUUUGAAUAUGUUACAUAUGUUGAAAAUGCAUAUAUUGAUAGCUUAGAAAUGAGUAGAACACUUGGUUCAUUUCUGAAUAUUUGAAUUAUGUACAUAAUAAUAUGUCGGUUGUCUUUUUUAUCUCACUUUUAAUCCCCUUUUUUGCCAUAUUCUAAUGCCUUUUUUAUAUUAAUUUUAAAUCCCUCUUUUGGCCAUAAACAUUUGUAUAAGAUUGUUUGAAAGCAAAAUAUGAUUGUUAGGUCAGAUAGAAAGCAAAGUCGGCAAGAUCUUAGAGUUCUUCACCCACAUAACAGCGAUAAAAACAAAACAAUACGACCAAGCUGCUAAGGGUUGCAAAACCCCACCCUGCCUAGUAGGUCCUUAGAGUUUUUCACCCAACAUGGCAGCUGUGAGAGGGAGCGAGAAAAAAAGAGGGAGCCAAGCCAGCCGCUUAGGUCAAGUAAAACGCGCGCCGAGAUCCCCGGUUUCAGAAUUUUCGUGGGAUCCUCUCCGCUUUUCUUGCCUAAGCAAAACCCGAUCCCGCCUAGAGAGGUAGAGAGAAAAAAAAGAGGGAGCAAGGCCAGCCGCUUAGGUCAAGUAAAAUGCGCGCCGAGAUCCCCCGGUUUCAGAAUUUUCGUGGCGAUCCUCUCCGCUUUUCUUGCCUAAGCAAAACCGAUCCCGCCUAGAGAGGUAGAGAGAAAAAAAAGAGGGAGCAAGGCCAGCCGCUUAGGUCAAGUAAAAUGCGCGCCGAGAUCCCCCGGUUUCAGAAUUUUCGUGGGGAUCCUCUCCGCUUUUCUUGCCUAAGCAAAACCGAUCCGCCUAGAGAGUAGAGAGAAAAAAAAGAGGGAGCCAAGCCAGCCGCUUAGGUCAAGUAAAAUGCGCGCCGAGAUCACCCGGUUUCAGAAUUUUCGUGGGGUCCUCUCCGCUUUUCUUGCCUAAGCAAAACCCGAUCCCGCCUAGAGAGGUAGAGAGAAAAAAAGAGGGCGCCAAGCCAGCCGCUUAGGUCAAGUAAAAUGCGCGUCGAGAUCCCCGGGUUUCAGAAUUUUCGUGGGGAUCCUCUCCGCUUUUCUUGCCUAAGCAAAACCCGAUCCCGCCUAGAGAGGUAGAGAGAAAAAAAAGAGGGAGCCAAGCCAGCCGCUUAGGUCAAGAAAAAUGCGCGCCGAGAUCCCCGGUUUCAGAAUUUUCGUGGGAUCCUCUCCGCUUUUCUUGCCUAAGCAAAACCUGAUCCCGCCUAGAGAGGUAGAGAGAAAAAAAGAGGGAGCCAAGCCAGCCGCUUAGGUCAAGUAAAAUGCGCGCCGAGAUCCCCCGGUUUCAGAAUUUUCGUGGGGAUCCUCUUCGCUUUUCUUGCCUAAGCAAAACCCGAUCCCGCCUAGAGAGGUAGAGAGAAAAAAAAGAGGGCGCCAAGCCAGCCGCUUAGGUCAAGUAAAAUGCGCGCCGAGAUCCCCCGGUUUAUGAAUUUUCGUGGGAUCCUCUCCGCUUUUCUUGCCUAAGCAAAACCGAUCCCGCCUAGAGAGGUAGAGAGAAAAAAAGAGGGAGCCAAGCCAGCCGCUUAGGUCAAGUAAAAUGCGCGCCGAGAUCCCCCGGUUUCAGAAUUUUCGUGGGGAUCCUCUCCGCUUUUCUUGCCUAAGCAAAACCCGAUCCCGCCUAGAGAGGUAGAGAGAAAAAAAAGAGGGAGCCAAGCCAGCCGCUUAGGUCAAGUAAAAUGCGCGCCGAGAUCCCCCGGUUUCAGAAUUUUCGUGGGGAUCCUCUCCGCUUUUCUUGCCUAAGCAAAACCGAUCCCGCCUAGAGAGGUAGAGAGAAAAAAAGAGGGCGCCAAGCCAGCCGCUUAGGUCAAGUAAAAUGCGCGCCGAGAUCCCCGGUUUCAGAAUUUUCGUGGGGAUCCUCUCCGCUUUUCUUGCCUAAGCAAAACCCGACCUCCGCAGUAGGUACUUAGAGUUCUUCACCCAGCAUGGCAGCCUGUGAGAGGGAGCGAGAAACAAAAGAGGGAGCCAAGCCAGCCGCUUAGGUCAAGUAAAAUGCGCGCCGAGAUCCCCCGGUUUCAGAAUUUUCGUGGGGAUCCUCUCCGCUUUUCUUGCCUAAGCAAAACCCGACCCCCGCCUAGUAGGUACUUAGAGUUCUUCACCCAGCAUGGCAGCCUGUAGAGAGGGAGCGAGAAAAAAAAGAGGGAGUCAAGCCAGAUGCUUAGGUUAAGUAAAAUGCGCGUCGAGAUUGCCUGGUAUUAGAGCUUGCAUGGGCAACCUCUCCGCUUUAGAUGGAAUUUGAUGAAAUGCUUAUGUCCAAAGUAGGCAUUUCUCUACAGAGUCCUAAUGGUCAUAGAAAUUUAUUAUGCUUUGUAUUUAUUUUACUUUGUUGUCAGGAAUCAACUUCUUUUCUGAUUUGUAUGUUUAUGUAUAUGUUGCAUCUCUUUCUUGUUACCAUGUUGUAUUUCAUUGUACUCAAUAGUCUGAUUUGCAUUUUUUAUUGGCUACAUGUGUUUUACUAAUAAGAAUUUGUUUUCUCAUUUGUUUAUUUGUGUUAAUAAGUGUUCGUGUAAUUGCAAUUUUGUUCUUGAAGAUAUUUUGCUUGAAUCAAGUUAGUUCUUUCUAUAAGGAUCAUUUUCUUGUAAGGUUAUAACUUCUUGUCCAAUUUUUCCAACUCACAUUUCAACUUGUAACAGGUGAAUCCCUUCUAAAUAAGAGCUUAAAAAGAAAAAAAAAUUUAACCAUAAAAUCAAGGUACUGCAUCUUAUUUGCAAUGAAUUGCUAUAAUUUCUUCCAACACUAUGAAACAUUUAUGUUAUAGUUUUAUUAUUGUAAACACCUUUGCUAAACAUCAUUGUAAUUUCCAAACACAACUCUGCCAAAGUUCCCAAGAUAGUUCUAUAGCAAUGUUCCAUAGGCUAUCUUGCAAGUGAUGUGGAACUCCUUUGCUUUUUUGAAUAGUAAGCUGGCCUUCCUCUUUUGUUAUGCUUUGUUUUGUUCUUAAUACUUGCUUUUAUCUUUGCCUAUUUCAUUCCUAGUUGAUAUAUUACAUAGUCCUCUUAAAUCUACAUUCUUUUUCUGUUUUAUGAUUCGCUUGAUUUUAAUGACUAACUUUGGCGAAAUAAUGUUGAACUAUAUUGCAUGUUUUGCAUCUAAACCUCAAUUGAAAAGGUUUGUUAUCUGUAUCAGUAUAAGGUUUCCAUCCAUCUUUCUUAGGCCAUCAAUGAAGUUUUUGCUUAGAUCUAUCUUAGUUCGGCCUCUUUAAAAUGUUACUCCAUACAAGGAAGAUCAAAAGUUGUGAUUACAAAGUGUAGAUUUGUAUUGUAUAGUUGCCUUAGUUAUUUUUUUAAUUAUUCUUUUUAGACGUUAUUUCCUUUUAUAAUUAGUUCUCUUUAGUUAGAAUUUCUAUUAAAUUAUACUUACCUAUUAUCAAGUCAUUUUUCAUUAAUAAGAGAAAAUGGAGUUUUUCUCAAAUAACAAAAAGUGAUUAUUUAAGAUACUAUGCUAAAGGGAACACAUCCAAUUACCAUGUUGAGAAUAUUAUCUUUGCCUAUUGAAGGUCUUGGAUUCUUGGUCAACUUUGAAUGCAAAUUUUUCUUAGUUGAUUAUUAAAUAUCAGGGUAAAAAGAUCUUAUAUUGUAAUGUUGUUUUGCUUCACUUGCAUCAUACACUAAAACACAAGAUUAAAAAAAAAGUUAUAUUUAGACUUUUGUAUGGUAGAUUAGGUGUUCUCUUUGAAUUGGUGUUGGUAUUGGCUUUCUAAUUAUGAUAUGAUUUUGGGAGCCUUUGAAUUAUGUUCUUCAAACCUUCUCUCUUCGAUUGAAGCUUAUUAUAUUUUAUCGUUGUUAGUAUGUUCUUUUUUUCCAUUUUUUCCCUUGUAAUAUUUUUAUUUGAUAUAUAAUGUGCAUAAAAGAGAAAGUAGUUAAUGUGUUUUACAUUGCUGUGUUGUGCAAAGUUGGUGCUGUUGGUUCAAAUAUUUAAGAUUUGGUGAAGCACUUGGAAUAGUCUAAGUUAAAACUUUUAAUCUGUAGGAUAAUUUACUUUAUAAGAAUCACACAUUUACCUUUUUUUUUUUUUUUGAAGUAGGAAAGGAGCCUCUUCGUUAAGCUGAAAAUGAAUAGACAAGACAAAAGGUAAUACAAAAGCCCUAGGAUCAGUGAGUGCACUCGGGCAUCUCAUCUAUGUUGACACCUACUUAGCAUUCUCACCAUUCGUAGGUUAUGAGUUACGAACCUACACGUAAGCUUUUUUAGGUCGUUUUGAAAGUUAAAGUGAUACUUAGACACGUUUUGAACUCGUUUUAGGUUGGUUUGAAACUAAGUUUUAAACACAUUUGAUUGACAUGUUGGGUCUUGAAGUACUUUUUUCACACUUUUUGAAAUUUUGGUAGGUUGUGAGUUACAAACUUACACUUAAGCAUUACUUGGUCGUUUUGAAAAUUCAAGUGAUACUUACACACGUUUUGAAUUCAUUUUAGGUUAGAUUGAGUUUGUUGCACUUGGUUGUCAUUUUUGGUCUUGAAAUGCUUUUUUCAACCUUUUGGUAGAUUAUGAGUUACGAACUUACACUUAUGAUUUGCUAGGUUGUUUUGAAAACUCAAGUAAUACCUAGACACGUUUUGAGCACGUUUUAGGUUGGUUUGAACUAAGUUUGUUGCACUUACACACUUGGUUGCCAUUUUGGGUCUUGUAGUGCUUUUUCACAAUAUUUGAACUUUUUUCGUAGGUUAUGAGUUACGAACCUACACGUAAGCUUUUUUAGGUCGUUUUGAAAGUUAAAGUGAUACUUAGACACGUUUUGAACUCGUUUUAGGUUGGUUUGAAACUAAGUUUUAAACACAUUUGAUUGACAUGUUGGGUCUUGAAGUACUUUUUUCACAACAUUCUUUUCAUUUUGUAUGAAAGUUAAAGUGAGUUUCCGCCAAUCCACUUCAGUUACCCCAACGUGUGCAGCCAUUGCAUUCCAAGGAUGACAUCCUGAUAGAACACUGAUGUAGUGUUUUAUUAUAUUGAUAAUCAAACACAACUUACAACAUAAGCAAACCGUGAACCUCAGAAAAUGAGUCACGUUACAUAUAAUUCACAAACAUCAAACAAAGAAAACCUCCUAAUCCAAAAUUCCGAACAACAAAGUACUAAUAAGCAAACCAGAAUAUAGAACACCAAUCUUCUGCUUCCCCUGUCUUUCAAGGAGUAUUGCAGACCUUUUCCUUCACUCAAAAAACUCACUUUAACAAAGAGGCAGCCACAUUUUCAGGUAUAGAAAAUAAAGUAGGUAGUAUGUAGGAGGGCUAACCAGAACUGAGUUGCAUAACGUUUGUCUUCCGCCUCUAGAGAUGUUAUAUCUUUUCCACCUUUCAAGUUUCUUGUGAAUUCGAUCAAUGACUGGUUGCCAAAAAGACUUUUGUCGAGGGUAGCCUCCCAAAGGGAGACCUAAAUAUAUAAUCAGAAGCUUUUCUACCUUGCACCCUAUCAGAUUUGCUGUUUGAAACAAAUCUUCCUCUCCCACAUUAAUGCCGCUAAGGGCUGAUUUUUCCCAGUUUACUUUCUGCCCGAACACCAUUCGAAUAAUCUAAUGACGUUUUAAAGUUUAAGGACCAUCUUCACAUCAUACUUACAAAAGAGAAGAGUAUCAUCGACAAAUUGAAGCAAAGGGAGGUGGAUCAAGUCUUUGCCAACAAGGAAACCUUCAAACUGGCGGUUAAUAUGAAGCUUGUUUAUGAUUUCUCCUAAAACCUCACUUACUAGGAGGAAUAAAAGGGGGAGAGGGGUACCCUUGGCGGAUACCUCAAGAUGCUGUUAUCCGGCCUCUAGGCUUACCAUUGAUGAAGACCGAAUACUUUGGAUUUUUUGGGCAGCUCAUUAUCCAUGAUAUCCAUUUGGAACUAAACUUUUUCAAAGAUAAUUUUUUUUCUAAAAAGUUCCAAUUCACCCUAUCAAAGGCUUUUUCCAAGUCAAGUUUUAAAAUCCAUCCUUUUUUCCGUUUUGCCCUAUAAUCUUCCACGGCCUCGUUAGCAAUUAAUAUUGGGUCAAGAAUUUUCCUACCUUCAAUAAAGGCGCUUUGAGUGGGCUUAUAAUUGCAUCCAUAACUUGUUUUAGACGUUCAGAUAAAACCUUUGCAACGACCUUGUAUGGUAACGUAGUAAGGCUGAUUGGACGGAAAUCCUUGACUAGAGUCACAUUCUCUUUUUUCUGCACUAAACAAAUGAAGUUUUCUUGGAUGCAAGCAUUUAAUGUUCCAUUUCUGUGGAAAUCAGACAUUAGUGAUUUGAAGAUAUCCUUGAAAAUAGACCAUUGGGUGAUUAGGAACUUCACUGUGAAGCCAUCCGGGCCCGGAGCUUUGUUGUUGCCAAGUGCCUUUAAUGCCUUAAAGAUCUCUGUUAGGAUUCUACACCCUUUUUAAUAAAAUACCCAACUAGGGCUAAACAGAGACAGAAUAUAUAGCCCAAAGUUACAGCUACAAUAAGGAAUGAAAACAAGAACAAUGAACAACAAGAACAAACCUGCACCCUUCACAAGAAGGAUACCCCUCUCCUAUCAGCUGCUGCCGCUCCCUUUCUUAAAAGAUAACCAAAAAGAUACCAUCCCUAUUUCUCAAUCAUCAUUCUAUUUAUACUCACCCUCAAAUUCCUACCCAGUGGGACCCACCUGCACAUUCUUUUAUUUCCCACUCAUUCUCUCUCCUUACAUGUUGGUGAGUUUCCCUUCUUACCCUUCCUAACAUACGUAUGUAUGAUUGGGGGUCUCACAACACCCC
Molecule: long non-coding RNA, 22410 nt
Filed under: Cucumis sativus (cucumber)
Lineage: Eukaryota; Viridiplantae; Streptophyta; Magnoliopsida; Cucurbitales; Cucurbitaceae
Description: long non-coding RNA (CSAT_LNC001120)
Source: RNAcentral